Molecule: ribosomal RNA, 495 nt
Filed under: uncultured bacterium
Lineage: Bacteria
Description: partial 16S ribosomal RNA
Rfam family: Bacterial small subunit ribosomal RNA
Source: RNAcentral
GACGAACGCUGGCGGCGUGCCUAAUACAUGCAAGUCGAACGCUGAAGGAGGAGCUUGCUCUUCUGGAUGAGUUGCGAACGGGUGAGUAACGCGUAGGUAACCUGCCUUGUAGCGGGGGAUAACUAUUGGAAACGAUAGCUAAUACCGCAUAACAGUAGAUGUUGCAUGACAUUUGCUUAAAAGGUGCACUUGCCCCACUACCAGAUGGCCCUGCGUUGUAUUAGCUAGGUGGUGGGGUAACGGCACACCAAGGCGACGAUACCUAGCCGACCUGGGAGGGUUGACGGCCACACUGGGACGGGGACACGGCCCAGACCCCUACGGGAGGCAGCAGGAGGGAAUCUUCGGCAAUGGACGGAAGGCUGACCGAGCAACGCCGCGUGAGGGAAGAAGGGUUUCGGAUCGGAAAGCUCUGUUGUAAGAGAAGAACGAGUGUGAGAGUGGAAAGUUCACACUGUGACGGUAGCUUACCAGAAAGGGACGGCUAACUACGUG